Molecule: ribosomal RNA, 183 nt
Filed under: uncultured bacterium
Lineage: Bacteria
Description: partial 16S ribosomal RNA
Rfam family: Bacterial small subunit ribosomal RNA
Source: RNAcentral
AUUGAAACGAUGAUUAAUACUGGAUACGUCCUUCUAGCUCUAAUGUUAGUCGGGAAAGUUUUUCGCUAAGAGAUCGGGUCUAUAUCCCAUCAGCUUGUUGGUAGUGUAAGAGACUACCAAGGCUAUGACGGGUAGCGGGUUUGAGAGGAUGAUCCGCCACACUGGUACUGAGACACGGACCAG